ACAACAUUAGGACCCUCGGUCUACCGAAUAUCACACACUCGGUGGAAGAUCUUCCUUCCCUUUGUCGU
This 68-nucleotide microRNA precursor is filed under the name Bombyx mori (domestic silkworm). RNAcentral describes it as "mir-2774 microRNA precursor family". It matches the Rfam family "mir-2774 microRNA precursor family". Lineage: Eukaryota; Metazoa; Arthropoda; Insecta; Lepidoptera; Bombycidae. The record is from Rfam by way of RNAcentral.